RNAcentral lists this unclassified non-coding RNA (574 nucleotides) under Hevea brasiliensis (rubber tree). Lineage: Eukaryota; Viridiplantae; Streptophyta; Magnoliopsida; Malpighiales; Euphorbiaceae. The record is from RNAcentral.
ACCAUCUGCCCUGAAUUUCCCUACCUUCACACCAGAACCUCCUAACUUCUCUGCCAAUUCAACAUAUGAUCCUUCCAUUGCCUGGCAGAAUUGGCACCAAGGAGCAUAAAGAACAACAAGCCAAGGCUCUCUUCCGUCUUCCAGUUUCAAUAGGUUCUCAACUCCAGGUCUACUCAAGGUAACAAUGCCCUUGGUGUCAAAAAUAUCAGCAACAGUGUCAUUUGUUUGGGUAGCAUUGUUCCCAUUACCAUUCACACUUUCAGCUUUGAUGUUUCCUUUAUGUAAGCCACAUUCCUUGGCCUUUGCAUCCUCCCACCACCACCUUCCUUCUCUCUCGUGUUGCCCAGGUAGGACCGGCCUGGUGCAAGGUUCACAUCCAAUAGAGACAUAACCUUUCAAAUGCAAAGAGUUCACGGGAACAUUCAUUGCACGUAGGAAGUUCCAUAUGUCCUUGCCUUCUACAUUAGCCACCGGGUUCCACUUCACCAAGCUUCCAGAGCCACCAUCCAAUCCCUCAAAAGAGGGGUCUACCUGAACAACCGGAACUUCAGAUCGAGUUCCAGGGGACUGAUCU